Coprinopsis cinerea okayama7#130 is the source of this 1715-nucleotide ribosomal RNA. It matches the Rfam family "Bacterial small subunit ribosomal RNA". NCBI's taxonomy places the organism in Eukaryota, Fungi, Basidiomycota, Agaricomycetes, Agaricales, Psathyrellaceae. The record is from Rfam.
AUCAGUAAGAAUUUAAUUUUGGUUCUGAUUGAACGUUUUUCAGUAGUCUAAGACAUGCAAAUCGUUUGUUCUAUAGCAAGUUAAUCUUGGAAACAAGUUAACUAAGCAAAGAACAAGGUGUACAGGUGAGUAAUGAUAAAUUAGAUACCUUAUAGACCUCUCAAAUAGAGGAUAGUUUCUAAAUAUUAGGAACAUAGAAUAGCUUUUCUAUAAUAAAGGAAAUUUUCCGCUAUAAGAAUUGAUUUAUUUUGUUUAAUGGUAGUUGGUAGAGUAAAAGCCUACCAAGCCUACGAUCAAUAGUCAAGUUUGAAAGAACCUCUGGCCACAUUGGGAAUGAGAAGUCCCAAAUUGCAUAAGCAAUCUGCAGUCAAGAAUAUUAGUCAAUGCUCGCAAGAGUGAACUAGCUAACUGAAAUCAUAAAAUCAUUUAAAAGUGGUAUUUAUGAUAACGUAAAGGAAAAAAAUGAUGUUACUUUACUAUAAGUGUUGUCUAAAUUACUGGUGCCAGAAGACUCGGUAACGCCAGAAACGCAAACGUUAGUCGUCUUUAAAAGGCGUAAAGGGUAAGUAGGCAGUUUACUAAAGUUUUUAUUUAAAAAGCUCUUAUUUUUACUUACUAUUAAUGCGUAAGCAUUAUAAGUGAAAAUAAGUUAAAAAUAGAACGAAUAUAAACUAGAAUCAUAUAGAGGAUAAACCAAAUAAUAUUAAGAGUAGGGAUGAUAUCCUUAGAUACUUAGUGGAAUACUAAAGGUGAAAGCUUUUUAUCUAAUAAUGAUUGACGCUGAGGAACGAAGGUGAGAAUAGGAAAUAGGAUUAGAUACCCAGAUACCUCUCACUGUCAACGAUGAAUGGUAGUUAUUAAUUUUUAAAUUAAUUGAUAGCGAUGUUAACGCGUUAACCAUUCCGCCUUGAGAGUACGGUUGCAAAACUGAAACCAAAAAAAUUAGUCGGUCUCGAAGCAAACGAAGUGAAGCAUGUUAUUUAAUACGAAAGUACGCGUAAAAUCUUACCAGUUCUUGUAUAUCCAUUAUAUCUCUCUCUUACUUCUUAUUUACUCUCACAAGUGGAAAGUAAGGAAGAAAGGAAAGAGAGAUAAAUAUAAUGAGUAAUUUCUUAAUUAAGAGAAAUUCGUUUACAGGUGUUGCAUGGCUGUCGUCAGUCCGUAUUGUGAAAAGUUAGGUUAACUCCACUAACGGACGCAAUCCCUGUUGUUAAUUUAUACUUAACAAUUUAUGAAUUUUAAAUAAAUUCAUUUGGGACUAAGACAAGUCGUUAUGGCCCUCAUGAACUGGGCUAUCGACGUGCUAUAAUAACUUUUACAAAGUGACGCAAAAUCUAUAUAAUUUUAUAGUUAGAAUAAGCAAAUCAUUAAAAAAAGUUAAUUGAUUUAUAUAGACGGAUUGUUGUCUGAAAUUCGGCAACAUGAAGGAGGAAUUUCGAGUAAUCGUUGAUCAUUACGCAACGGUGAAGCUUAUAUUCGGGAUGAACUAACUGUCUGUCGCUGGGAAGAAGCUUGGAUAGAGAGAAACUACUUAUUUAGUUAUACUUAAUAAAAAAUUUUGUUUAACUCUUACCUUAGUUAUUAUAUAACUAAAUAAUUGAGUCAAAAACCUUUUUUAUUUUUAUAUCUUAAAUACUAGUGUACUCUUCUGAGUAACAUCUCAAAAGUCAUAGCAAGGUAGCUGUACUGGAAAGUGCCGCUGGAUAAUAAUUAAA